Molecule: ribosomal RNA, 253 nt
Filed under: uncultured bacterium
Lineage: Bacteria
Description: partial 16S ribosomal RNA
Rfam family: Bacterial small subunit ribosomal RNA
Source: RNAcentral
UACGUAGGGGGCUAGCGUUGUCCGGAAUCAUUGGGCGUAAAGCGCGUGUAGGCGGUUCGGUAAGUCCGCUGUGAAAGUCGGGGGCUCAACCCUCGAAUGCCGGUGGAUACUGUCGGACUAGAGUACGGAAGAGGCGAGUGGAAUUCCUGGUGUAGCGGUGAAAUGCACAGAUAUCAGGAGGAACACCAAUUGCGAAGGCAGCUCGCUGGGACGUUACUGACGCUGAGACGCGAAAGCGUGGGGAGCAAACAGG